AAUAUUGGACAAUGGGCGCAAGCCUGAUCCAGCCAUGCCGCGUGAGUGAUGAAGGCCUUAGGGUUGUAAAGCUCUUUCAGCGGGGAAGAUAAUGACGGUACCCGCAGAAGAAGCCCCGGCUAACUUCGUGCCAGCAGCCGCGGUAAUACGAAGGGGGCUAGCGUUGCUCGGAAUCACUGGGCGUAAAGGGUGCGUAGGCGGGUUUUUAAGUCAGGGGUGAAAUCCUGGAGCUCAACUCCAGAACUGCCUUUGAUACUGAAGAUCUUGAGUCCGGGAGAGGUGAGUGGAACUGCGAGUGUAGAGGUGAAAUUCGUAGAUAUUCGCAAGAACACCAGUGGCGAAGGCGGCUCACUGGCCCGGUACUGACGCUGAGGUGCGAAAGCGUGGGGAGCAAAC
This 396-nucleotide ribosomal RNA is filed under the name uncultured bacterium. RNAcentral's name for it is "bacterial SSU rRNA". It matches the Rfam family "Bacterial small subunit ribosomal RNA", at positions 360 to 773 of the family's 1533-position model. The record is from RNAcentral.